Molecule: long non-coding RNA, 228 nt
Organism: Phyllostomus discolor (pale spear-nosed bat)
Lineage: Eukaryota; Metazoa; Chordata; Mammalia; Chiroptera; Phyllostomidae
Exons: 3
Source: RefSeq, a predicted model, not a curated record
AAUUGUGGUUCUGUUGACAGAUGAAAUUCUUAAAAGAUGGUGUGACUGUGGGUAUUUUUUCCCUUCCCUUUUCCAUUUCCUGUAUUUUCUUAGUUUUCAACAAUAAACAUGCUUUUUUAACUAGAGUAGGGAAAACUUUGAAGAUGAACACCUAGCAUGGCUGAAUACUGGUAGCAUUAUAAAGCAGUAUAUAAACACAAAUCAGUAAUUGCAAAGAUAAUACCAAGA